UCCCUGGUGGCUCAGAUGGUAAAGUGUCUGCCUAUAAGGCAGGAGACCUGGGUUCAAUCCCUGGGUUGGGAU
Molecule: non-coding RNA, 72 nt
Organism: Bos taurus (domestic cattle)
Lineage: Eukaryota; Metazoa; Chordata; Mammalia; Artiodactyla; Bovidae
Source: Rfam